RNAcentral lists this long non-coding RNA (666 nucleotides) under Triticum aestivum (bread wheat). RNAcentral describes it as "long non-coding RNA (TAES_LNC004749)". Lineage: Eukaryota; Viridiplantae; Streptophyta; Magnoliopsida; Poales; Poaceae. The record is from RNAcentral.
GCCCGUCAAUAUAAAAAUAUUAUUGAAGGAACAUUUCAUAACUCAUGCAUACAACAUUAUAUAAUCUCGUCUCUAGGACAUAUUUCUAAUUGGUAGGAUAUUUGCACCCUCCAAUGUGAGGCAUGACUCAGCAUGACGCUUUGCUAGUAUAUAUAAUGUAGAAUCUUGGGAAAAAUAUAACAUAGUAAAAAAAUGAUAAUGAGUAAAUAUUGUAAGCAUAUCAUGCUAAAUCCUGUAAUGGCUCUCUAAAGUUCCUUGUUCUUUGAAAUGUAGUCAAAACCCGUCUCAUCUUUAGUUGAUUGACUUGCUUCGGUUUCCUUCUCUUCGUAGCUAGAAUCGACACCACCUUUAGUUGACUUAUUUGUUUUCGGCUUCCUUCAUUUGCCAACACCACCACCAACACCAAUACCUUUAUGUGCACCGACACCAAGACCGGCAUUGGCACCUACAUUUGCUCCAAUGCCAACUCCAACGUUAGCGCCUCCAUUCGCACCAACACCAGCACCACCGUUUGCACCGCCACCAAGACCAGCAUUGGCACCUACAUUUGCUCCAAUACCUACAUUUGCUCCAAGACCAGCACCAGCACCAAUACCUUUAUGUGCACCGACACCAAGACCGGCAUUGGCACCUACAUUUGCUCCAAUGCCAGCUCCAAUGUUANNN